GGGCGAGUGGUGGAACGGCAGACACGAGAGACUUAAAAUCUCUUGUCCUUCGGGACGUGAGGGUUCGACCCCCUCCUCGCCCACCA
Molecule: transfer RNA, 86 nt
Filed under: candidate division WWE3 bacterium
Lineage: Bacteria; candidate division WWE3
Description: tRNA-Leu
Rfam family: tRNA
About the family: Transfer RNA (tRNA) molecules are approximately 80 nucleotides in length.
Source: RNAcentral